UACGUAGGGCGCAAGCGUUGUCCGGAAUUAUUGGGCGUAAAGAGCUCGUAGGCGGUUUGUCGCGUCUGCUGUGAAAACUCGAGGCUCAACCUCGGGCUUGCAGUGGGUACGGGCAGACUAGAGUGCGGUAGGGGAGACUGGAAUUCCUGGUGUAGCGGUGGAAUGCGCAGAUAUCAGGAGGAACACCGAUGGCGAAGGCAGGUCUCUGGGCCGCAACUGACGCUGAGGAGCGAAAGCAUGGGGAGCGAACAGG
Molecule: ribosomal RNA, 253 nt
Filed under: uncultured bacterium
Lineage: Bacteria
Description: partial 16S ribosomal RNA
Rfam family: Bacterial small subunit ribosomal RNA
Source: RNAcentral